UGGGGCGUGGCCAAGUGGUAAGGCAAUGCUUUUUGGUAGCAUGUAUCGUAGGUUCGAAUCCUACCGCCCCAGCCA
Molecule: transfer RNA, 75 nt
Filed under: Paracoccaceae bacterium
Lineage: Bacteria; Pseudomonadati; Pseudomonadota; Alphaproteobacteria; Rhodobacterales; Paracoccaceae
Description: Rhodobacteraceae bacterium (subsurface metagenome) tRNA-Gln
Rfam family: tRNA
About the family: Transfer RNA (tRNA) molecules are approximately 80 nucleotides in length. Their secondary structure includes four short double-helical elements and three loops (D, anti-codon, and T loops). Further hydrogen bonds mediate the characteristic L-shaped molecular structure. tRNAs have two regions of fundamental functional importance: the anti-codon, which is responsible for specific mRNA codon recognition, and the 3' end, to which the tRNAs corresponding amino acid is attached (by aminoacyl-tRNA synthetases). tRNAs cope with the degeneracy of the genetic code in two manners: having more than one tRNA (with a specific anti-codon) for a particular amino acid; and 'wobble' base-pairing, i.e. permitting non-standard base-pairing at the 3rd anti-codon position.
Source: RNAcentral